GAAAUGCGAUAAGUAGUGUGAAUUGCAGAAUUCAGUGAAUCAUCGAAUCUUUGAACGCACAUUGCGCCCCUUGGUAUUCCAUGGGGCAUGCCUGUUCGAGCGUCAUUUGUACCCUCAAGCUCUGCUUGGUGUUGGGUGUUUGUCCCCGUCUCCGCGCGUGGACUCGCCCCAAAGUGAUUGGCAGCCGGCGUACUGGUCCCGGAGCGCAGCACAUGUCGCGCAAACGAGUGCCUUGGUACGGCGGCGUCCAUAAGCCCCUCUCUCACGCUCUUGACCUAGGAUCAGGUAGGGAUACCCGCUGAACUUAAGC
This 310-nucleotide unclassified non-coding RNA is filed under the name plant metagenome. RNAcentral describes it as "partial contains 5.8S ribosomal RNA, internal transcribed spacer 2, and large subunit ribosomal RNA". The stretch from base 1 to 105 matches the Rfam family "5.8S ribosomal RNA", at positions 50 to 154 of the family's 154-position model. The record is from RNAcentral.